GAGUUUGAUCCUGGCUCAGGAUGAACGCUGGCGGCGUGCUUAACACAUGCAAGUCGAACGAAGCACUUUAUUUGAUUUCCUUCGGGACUGAUUAUUUUGUGACUGAGUGGCGGACGGGUGAGUAACGCGUGGGUAACCUGCCUUGUACAGGGGGAUAACAGUUGGAAACGGCUGCUAAUACCGCAUAAGCGCACAGCAUCGCAUGAUGCAGUGUGAAAAACUCCGGUGGUAUAAGAUGGACCCGCGUUGGAUUAGCUAGUUGGUGAGGUAACGGCCCACCAAGGCGACGAUCCAUAGCCGACCUGAGAGGGUGACCGGCCACAUUGGGACUGAGACACGGCCCAAACUCCUACGGGAGGCAGCAGUGGGGAAUAUUGCACAAUGGGCGAAAGCCUGAUGCAGCGACGCCGCGUGAGCGAAGAAGUAUUUCGGUAUGUAAAGCUCUAUCAGCAGGGAAGAUAAUGAUGGUACCUGACUAAGAAGCACCGGCUAAAUACGUGCCAGCAGCCGCGGUAAUUC
Molecule: ribosomal RNA, 519 nt
Filed under: uncultured bacterium
Lineage: Bacteria
Description: bacterial SSU rRNA
Rfam family: Bacterial small subunit ribosomal RNA
Source: RNAcentral